This is a long non-coding RNA of Octopus bimaculoides (California two-spot octopus), 972 nucleotides long. RefSeq lists it as uncharacterized. The record is from RefSeq and is a predicted model, not a curated record. Lineage: Eukaryota; Metazoa; Mollusca; Cephalopoda; Octopoda; Octopodidae.
GAGAGAGUGAGUGAGAGAGAGAGAGAAAGAUAUCAGUGUAACUUUAAUAUAAGAUAUAAUGUAGUCUUCUUUAUGCUUAAGUUAUCGUAUUGGACAUUGCAGUACAUUGUUAAUUAUUAAUGGUAACGAAAUGACGGACGAAGCUUUACGUAACCACUGGAUUCGCUUGAAAUAGCAGGAAGUAUACGAAAAAUUAUUCUUUCAACAAGGAGAUCAUAACUGUUACCGCUCUCUUCCCACCGGAUUUACUGAAAAACCCAGUGAAAUACUGGGGUCGAUAUAAUUGAUUAUAUAUAUCAGUGUAAGCCUUUGUGGACUUCUGUGCAUUUUAGAUACCGAUAUCAGUGCCAAAUCUAGUUUGUGAACAAAAGGCGGGAGUGGGACCAUAAUACGGAGGCUCCAGCGGGUUUCGAAUACCCGAUCAUCAGUUUAUUUGAUUAACAGUCUGACCAACUUACCUAUGAAAACACGUCGGUUUGUAUGUUUAAAUUAUUGUGACGUCGAUAAUUUUAAGGUUAAACUAUACUGAAACUGUUGUGUCCAGUUAUAAUGCCGUUCAUUGUUGCUAUGGUAAUAGGUUGUUACAUUUAUUCUAGUAUCAUUAUCAAUAUUUGUUCAGCAAACAAUCUCACUAUAACGUCGGCUUAAGUGGAGAUUACGUGAGAAAUAUCCGUACAACAACUCUCGAACCAACAUAAGAUGCAUAACUUAAGUUAUCUGCGUUUACAGGAAAGAGAGAUAUCAGCAUAACUCUUGUUUUAAUAUAAGAUAUAAUGUCGUCUUCUUUAUGGUGAGUUAUCAUAUUGGACAUUACAUACGCUACAAUCUUCAACACUGACAGCAGAGGUUUUACGUAACCACUGGAUCUACUGGAAAUAGCAGCCAAGCAUAUGAAUAAUUUCUCAUUCAAUAAGAUCAACAUUUUUUAUUGUUUUCUUCACUCCUGGUUUAUUAAAAGAAACAGUGAAAUGA